GGAGACAGGUGCUGCAUGGCUGUCGUCAGCUCGUGUCGUGAGAUGUUGGGUUAAGUCCCGCAACGAGCGCAACCCUUGCCUUUAGUUGCCAGCAGUUCGGCUGGGCACUCUAAAGGGACUGCCGGUGUUAAACCGGAGGAAGGUGGGGAUGACGUCAAGUCCUCAUGGCCUUUAUGACCAGGGCUACACACGUACUACAAUGGCCGAUACAAAGGGCAGCGACACGUGCGAGGUGAAGCCAAUCCCGUAAAAUCGGUCUCAGUCCGGAUUGGAGUCUGCAACUCGACUCCAUGAAGUUGGAAUCGCUAGUAAUCGUGGAUCAGCAUGCCACGGUGAAUACGUUCCCGGGCCUU
This 353-nucleotide ribosomal RNA is filed under the name uncultured Desulfobulbus sp. Its description in RNAcentral is "bacterial SSU rRNA". It matches the Rfam family "Bacterial small subunit ribosomal RNA", at positions 1030 to 1382 of the family's 1533-position model. The record is from RNAcentral. Lineage: Bacteria; Pseudomonadati; Thermodesulfobacteriota; Desulfobulbia; Desulfobulbales; Desulfobulbaceae.